Molecule: ribosomal RNA, 469 nt
Filed under: Abiotrophia defectiva
Lineage: Bacteria; Bacillati; Bacillota; Bacilli; Lactobacillales; Aerococcaceae
Description: bacterial SSU rRNA
Rfam family: Bacterial small subunit ribosomal RNA
Source: RNAcentral
GACGAACGCGGCGGCGUGCCUAAUACAUGCAAGUCGAACGAACCGCGACUGAGUGCUUGCACUUGGUCAAGGUGAGUGGCGAACGGGUGAGUAACACGUGGGUAACCUACCUCAUAGUGGGGGAUAACAGUCGGAAACGACUGCUAAUACCGCAUAGGACAUGGGAUCACAUGAUUCCGUGAGGAAAGGUGGCGCAAGCUAUCGCUAAGAGAUGGACCCGCGGUGCAUUAGCUAGUUGGUAGGGUAACGGCCUACCAAGGCGAUGAUGCAUAGCCGACCUGAGAGGGUGAUCGGCCACAUUGGGACUGAGAAACGGCCCAAACUCCUACGGGAGGCAGCAGUAGGGAAUCUUCCGCAAUGGACGCAAGUCUGACGGAGCAACGCCGCGUGAGUGAGGAAGGUCUUCGGAUCGUAAAGCUCUGUUGUUAGAGAAGAACAGCGCAUAGAGUAAACUGUUAUGCGUGUGACG